UGCCCCAUGGCUGAGUUGGUUACAGCGUCCGACUGUUACGGCGUCGAGUCGGGAAAUCGGAAGGUCGUGAGUUCGAGCCUCACUGGGGCAG
Non-coding RNA from Steccherinum ochraceum, 91 nucleotides. The record is from the annotation of a GenBank genome assembly. Lineage: Eukaryota; Fungi; Basidiomycota; Agaricomycetes; Polyporales; Steccherinaceae.